This 2741-nucleotide ribosomal RNA is filed under the name Escherichia coli. Its description in RNAcentral is "partial 23S ribosomal RNA". It matches the Rfam family "Bacterial large subunit ribosomal RNA". The record is from RNAcentral. Lineage: Bacteria; Pseudomonadati; Pseudomonadota; Gammaproteobacteria; Enterobacterales; Enterobacteriaceae.
CAUAGGUUAAUGAGGCGAACCGGGGGAACUGAAACAUCUAAGUACCCCGAGGAAAAGAAAUCAACCGAGAUUCCCCCAGUAGCGGCGAGCGAACGGGGAGCAGCCCAGAGCCUGAAUCAGUGUGUGUGUUAGUGGAAGCGUCUGGAAAGGCGCGCGAUACAGGGUGACAGCCCCGUACACAAAAAUGCACAUGCUGUGAGCUCGAUGAGUAGGGCGGGACACGUGGUAUCCUGUCUGAAUAUGGGGGGACCAUCCUCCAAGGCUAAAUACUCCUGACUGACCGAUAGUGAACCAGUACCGUGAGGGAAAGGCGAAAAGAACCCCGGCGAGGGGAGUGAAAAAGAACCUGAAACCGUGUACGUACAAGCAGUGGGAGCCUCUUUUAUGGGGUGACUGCGUACCUUUUGUAUAAUGGGUCAGCGACUUAUAUUCUGUAGCAAGGUUAACCGAAUAGGGGAGCCGAAGGGAAACCGAGUCUUAACUGGGCGUUAAGUUGCAGGGUAUAGACCCGAAACCCGGUGAUCUAGCCAUGGGCAGGUUGAAGGUUGGGUAACACUAACUGGAGGACCGAACCGACUAAUGUUGAAAAAUUAGCGGAUGACUUGUGGCUGGGGGUGAAAGGCCAAUCAAACCGGGAGAUAGCUGGUUCUCCCCGAAAGCUAUUUAGGUAGCGCCUCGUGAAUUCAUCUCCGGGGGUAGAGCACUGUUUCGGCAAGGGGGUCAUCCCGACUUACCAACCCGAUGCAAACUGCGAAUACCGGAGAAUGUUAUCACGGGAGACACACGGCGGGUGCUAACGUCCGUCGUGAAGAGGGAAACAACCCAGACCGCCAGCUAAGGUCCCAAAGUCAUGGUUAAGUGGGAAACGAUGUGGGAAGGCCCAGACAGCCAGGAUGUUGGCUUAGAAGCAGCCAUCAUUUAAAGAAAGCGUAAUAGCUCACUGGUCGAGUCGGCCUGCGCGGAAGAUGUAACGGGGCUAAACCAUGCACCGAAGCUGCGGCAGCGACGCUUAUGCGUUGUUGGGUAGGGGAGCGUUCUGUAAGCCUGUGAAGGUGUGCUGUGAGGCAUGCUGGAGGUAUCAGAAGUGCGAAUGCUGACAUAAGUAACGAUAAAGCGGGUGAAAAGCCCGCUCGCCGGAAGACCAAGGGUUCCUGUCCAACGUUAAUCGGGGCAGGGUGAGUCGACCCCUAAGGCGAGGCCGAAAGGCGUAGUCGAUGGGAAACAGGUUAAUAUUCCUGUACUUGGUGUUACUGCGAAGGGGGGACGGAGAAGGCUAUGUUGGCCGGGCGACGGUUGUCCCGGUUUAAGCGUGUAGGCUGGUUUUCCAGGCAAAUCCGGAAAAUCAAGGCUGAGGCGUGAUGACGAGGCACUACGGUGCUGAAGCAACAAAUGCCCUGCUUCCAGGAAAAGCCUCUAAGCAUCAGGUAACAUCAAAUCGUACCCCAAACCGACACAGGUGGUCAGGUAGAGAAUACCAAGGCGCUUGAGAGAACUCGGGUGAAGGAACUAGGCAAAAUGGUGCCGUAACUUCGGGAGAAGGCACGCUGAUAUGUAGGUGAAGUCCCUUGCGGAUGGAGCUGAAAUCAGUCGAAGAUACCAGCUGGCUGCAACUGUUUAUUAAAAACACAGCACUGUGCAAACACGAAAGUGGACGUAUACGGUGUGACGCCUGCCCGGUGCCGGAAGGUUAAUUGAUGGGGUCAGCGCAAGCGAAGCUCUUGAUCGAAGCCCCGGUAAACGGCGGCCGUAACUAUAACGGUCCUAAGGUAGCGAAAUUCCUUGUCGGGUAAGUUCCGACCUGCACGAAUGGCGUAAUGAUGGCCAGGCUGUCUCCACCCGAGACUCAGUGAAAUUGAACUCGCUGUGAAGAUGCAGUGUACCCGCGGCAAGACGGAAAGACCCCGUGAACCUUUACUAUAGCUUGACACUGAACAUUGAGCCUUGAUGUGUAGGAUAGGUGGGAGGCUUAGAAGUGUGGACGCCAGUCUGCAUGGAGCCGACCUUGAAAUACCACCCUUUAAUGUUUGAUGUUCUAACGUGGACCCGUAAUCCGGGUUGCGGACAGUGUCUGGUGGGUAGUUUGACUGGGGCGGUCUCCUCCUAAAGAGUAACGGAGGAGCACGAAGGUUGGCUAAUCCUGGUCGGACAUCAGGAGGUUAGUGCAAUGGCAUAAGCCAGCUUGACUGCGAGCGUGACGGCGCGAGCAGGUGCGAAAGCAGGUCAUAGUGAUCCGGUGGUUCUGAAUGGAAGGGCCAUCGCUCAACGGAUAAAAGGUACUCCGGGGAUAACAGGCUGAUACCGCCCAAGAGUUCAUAUCGACGGCGGUGUUUGGCACCUCGAUGUCGGCUCAUCACAUCCUGGGGCUGAAGUAGGUCCCAAGGGUAUGGCUGUUCGCCAUUUAAAGUGGUACGCGAGCUGGGUUUAGAACGUCGUGAGACAGUUCGGUCCCUAUCUGCCGUGGGCGCUGGAGAACUGAGGGGGGCUGCUCCUAGUACGAGAGGACCGGAGUGGACGCAUCACUGGUGUUCGGGUUGUCAUGCCAAUGGCACUGCCCGGUAGCUAAAUGCGGAAGAGAUAAGUGCUGAAAGCAUCUAAGCACGAAACUUGCCCCGAGAUGAGUUCUCCCUGACCCUUUAAGGGUCCUGAAGGAACGUUGAAGACGACGACGUUGAUAGGCCGGGUGUGUAAGCGCAGCGAUGCGUUGAGCUAACCGGUACUAAUGAACCGUGAGGCUUAACCUU